UACUCCAAUUCCAGCUAUUUG
Molecule: non-coding RNA, 21 nt
Filed under: Caenorhabditis elegans
Lineage: Eukaryota; Metazoa; Nematoda; Chromadorea; Rhabditida; Rhabditidae
Source: RNAcentral